GGACGGUUGGCCGAGUGGUUGAAGGCGCCCGCCUGUAAAGCGGGAUCCGCGAGGACACCGGUGGUUCGAAUCCAUCACCGUCCACCA
RNAcentral lists this transfer RNA (87 nucleotides) under Betaproteobacteria bacterium. RNAcentral's name for it is "tRNA-Tyr". It matches the Rfam family "tRNA". From Rfam's summary of the family: Transfer RNA (tRNA) molecules are approximately 80 nucleotides in length. Their secondary structure includes four short double-helical elements and three loops (D, anti-codon, and T loops). Further hydrogen bonds mediate the characteristic L-shaped molecular structure. tRNAs have two regions of fundamental functional importance: the anti-codon, which is responsible for specific mRNA codon recognition, and the 3' end, to which the tRNAs corresponding amino acid is attached (by aminoacyl-tRNA synthetases). tRNAs cope with the degeneracy of the genetic code in two manners: having more than one tRNA (with a specific anti-codon) for a particular amino acid; and 'wobble' base-pairing, i.e. permitting non-standard base-pairing at the 3rd anti-codon position. Lineage: Bacteria; Pseudomonadati; Pseudomonadota; Betaproteobacteria. The record is from RNAcentral.